Molecule: long non-coding RNA, 855 nt
Organism: Bombyx mori (domestic silkworm)
Lineage: Eukaryota; Metazoa; Arthropoda; Insecta; Lepidoptera; Bombycidae
Exons: 2
Source: RefSeq, a predicted model, not a curated record
CAGUAACCACUUAACACCAGGUGGGCUGUAAGUUCGUCCACCCAUCUAAGCAAUAAAAAAAAAGGCAUGAAAUAAAAUGAAAUGAAAUGAGAUGAGAUGAGAUAAUAUGGGAGCACGUAAUGAUUUAUAUUUUAUAUAAAAAAGUUAUCAUAUAAAUAUAGAUUUUGAUAUAAAAAAGUUUUCAUAAAAAUUGAAAUAAGACUGACCUUAAGGUCUUAGUUACCAGGUCAUAAAAUCCCUUAAAAAAAUCAUUUCGUGCGCAGCGCGUUUCGCAAUAUUUCGCAUUGUUGUUUUUAACGUUGUUUUUAAUUUCUGGCUUUGUUCGUUUUCGUAAACAACCUAAUGCGCGAUUUCUCGUAACAGGUUCCAUUUUUAUUUUCAAGCAACCUGUUGCUGCAACAGGUUUCGUAAAAAAUUACUCAUCUUUAGUAGGAAACAGCCUCAAAAAUAUCGUUUUUUAUUAAAAUAUCUCGAACAGCAAACAUAACCUAAAAUGUAAACAUUGUCUGAUUUUACCAAUUUGGCCAUUGCUGGGUGACCGAAAAUUGGGCUCAUGAAACCUUCUAAGAAUCUACCAACACUAGCGCAUUCACGGAAUUCUCGUAAAAACAAUAACACAAGCCGAGAUGCGGUUUAGAUAUAAAAGCCACGAAACAGCAAUAAAACAGUAAACGCUAAUAAAAAUGGAUAAGAGAACUCGGAUAGGCAUGCCGCAAUGUCAACAACCUGCCGGCGUACGUUAAUUGACUCGGAAAUGGACGAAUUUAAAUUACAAUAUCCUUGCACUGGCGCCACACGCACAUAAUUAUAUGUAUAACAUACAUAUAUUUAAAAUAAAAGUUCUUAAAUUGCAAA